CCUACGGGCGGCAGCAGUCGGGAAUAUUGCGCAAUGGAGGAAACUCUGACGCAGUGACGCCGCGUAUAGGAAGAAGGCUUUCGGGUUGUAAACUUCUUUUCUCAGGGACGAAGAAAGUGACGGUACCUGAGGAAUAAGCCACGGCUAACUACGUGCCAGCAGCCGCGGUAAUACGUAGGUGGCAAGCGUUAUCCGGAUUUACUGGGUGUAAAGGGCGUGUAGGCGGGGAAGCAAGUCAGAUGUGAAAACCACGGGCUCAACCUGUGGCCUGCAUUUGAAACUGUUUUUCUUGAGUACUGGAGAGGCAGACGGAAUUCCUAGUGUAGCGGUGAAAUGCGUAGAUAUUAGGAGGAACACCAGUGGCGAAGGCGGUCUGCUGGACAGCAACUGACGCUGAGGCGCGAAAGCGUGGGGAGCAAACAGGAUUAGAUACCCGUGUAGUC
RNAcentral lists this ribosomal RNA (443 nucleotides) under uncultured bacterium. RNAcentral's name for it is "partial 16S ribosomal RNA". It matches the Rfam family "Bacterial small subunit ribosomal RNA", at positions 338 to 795 of the family's 1533-position model. The record is from RNAcentral.